UUAAGUUCAGCGGGUCUUCCUACCUGAUCCGAGGUCAACCUAGUGCUAAUAAAAGCUUGGUUUUACGGCUGGUACCCGCAGCACGCCCUGAGCGAGCUUGAUGCUACUACGCUCGGUGUGUCAGCGAGCCCGCCACUGAAUCAGGGCCUGCGGGCAGCCCGCAGGUCCCCAACACAAGCCGGGGGCUUGAUGGUUGAAAU
RNAcentral lists this unclassified non-coding RNA (200 nucleotides) under Malbranchea sp. Its description in RNAcentral is "partial internal transcribed spacer 2". Lineage: Eukaryota; Fungi; Ascomycota; Eurotiomycetes; Onygenales; Malbrancheaceae. The record is from RNAcentral.